RNAcentral lists this non-coding RNA (23 nucleotides) under Cricetulus griseus (Chinese hamster). Lineage: Eukaryota; Metazoa; Chordata; Mammalia; Rodentia; Cricetidae. The record is from RNAcentral.
UUAAAUCAGUUAUGGUUCCUUUG